RNAcentral lists this ribosomal RNA (329 nucleotides) under uncultured eukaryote. RNAcentral describes it as "partial 18S ribosomal RNA". It matches the Rfam family "Eukaryotic small subunit ribosomal RNA", at positions 1470 to 1796 of the family's 1831-position model. The record is from RNAcentral.
CCCUUAGAUGUUCUGGGCCGCGCGCGCGCUACACUGAUGCAUUCAACGAGUCUAAAACCUGCUCUGAUAGGGGUGGGUAAUCUUUUGAAUGUGCAUCGUGAUUGGGAUAGAUGAUUGCAAUUUUUCAUCUUCAACGAGGAAUGCCUAGUAAACGCAAGUCAUCAGCUUGCAUUGAUUACGUCCCUGCCCUUUGUACACACCGCCCGUCGCUCCUACCGAUUGAAUGAUCCGAUGAAUAUCAUGGAUUGAGGAUGCAAGUAGGUUCGCCUAUCUUCAUCUUCGAGAAGUGAAGUAAAUCUUAUCAUUUAGAGGAAGGAGGAGUCGUAACA